Dermacentor andersoni is the source of this 636-nucleotide non-coding RNA. Lineage: Eukaryota; Metazoa; Arthropoda; Arachnida; Ixodida; Ixodidae. The record is from RefSeq and is a predicted model, not a curated record.
ACAAGGCCUCCAGUGGUGGGUGUGCUAACUGCGAAUGUCCCAAUGGUGAGCAGGAGUGCAAAGGUUACAAAGCGAAAUGUGACUGCGUUGACGGAAUUCUUUACUAUAAGGGCAGCAGCUGGUGCGCUAAGAACGAAGAAGACUGCGAUCGACCGGACUGGCCCAAGCAAGCUUCCAACAAUAGCGACUGCCUCUUAUGUGAAUGCGAUAAGCCCAGCUGCAAUGUUGGCGCUUUGUGCCACUGCAAGGAUGGCGUUCUGUAUCUGAAGGAGAGUGGCAUGGAAUGCGUUCGUAUUCGGAGAGAUUGUUUCCUAAAGCAUCAAAAGAAGAGCCGGUUUUGAUUGGAUAAAGUUGUUUGAAGACAGCACACAGUGUGCGAUUGCCAGCUGUGAACAAGGCACAGGUAAAAAUAUGAUUGCUAGCCCCCGCUGUAGAUUUAACAGCGUACGAAGCUUCCUCAGCAAGAAAACGUACUGCAAUGCCCACAGAAGUCCGGCCAUUUAUUUUUAUGUAUUGAGAAUACUGCUGCCGAUGGGAUUUCUUGUGUUUAAUUUCUUUUAGUUCUGAAACCGCUCUUGUACAAUCGAUGUCUUCAUUGCCGUGCACUGGAAAUAAAUAAAAUAUCUUGCACUUGUA